RNAcentral lists this ribosomal RNA (2900 nucleotides) under Escherichia coli. RNAcentral's name for it is "bacterial LSU rRNA". It matches the Rfam family "Bacterial large subunit ribosomal RNA". Lineage: Bacteria; Pseudomonadati; Pseudomonadota; Gammaproteobacteria; Enterobacterales; Enterobacteriaceae. The record is from RNAcentral.
UAAGCGACUAAGCGUACACGGUGGAUGCCCUGGCAGUCAGAGGCGAUGAAGGACGUGCUAAUCUGCGAUAAGCGUCGGUAAGGUGAUAUGAACCGUUAUAACCGGCGAUUUCCGAAUGGGGAAACCCAGUGUGAUUCGUCACACUAUCAUUAACUGAAUCCAUAGGUUAAUGAGGCGAACCGGGGGAACUGAAACAUCUAAGUACCCCGAGGAAAAGAAAUCAACCGAGAUUCCCCCAGUAGCGGCGAGCGAACGGGGAGGAGCCCAGAGCCUGAAUCAGUGUGUGUGUUAGUGGAAGCGUCUGGAAAGGCGCGCGAUACAGGGUGACAGCCCCGUACACAAAAAUGCACAUGCUGUGAGCUCGAUGAGUAGGGCGGGACACGUGGUAUCCUGUCUGAAUAUGGGGGGACCAUCCUCCAAGGCUAAAUACUCCUGACUGACCGAUAGUGAACCAGUACCGUGAGGGAAAGGCGAAAAGAACCCCGGCGAGGGGAGUGAAAAAGAACCUGAAACCGUGUACGUACAAGCAGUGGGAGCACGCUUAGGCGUGUGACUGCGUACCUUUUGUAUAAUGGGUCAGCGACUUAUAUUCUGUAGCAAGGUUAACCGAAUAGGGGAGCCGAAGGGAAACCGAGUCUUAACUGGGCGUUAAGUUGCAGGGUAUAGACCCGAAACCCGGUGAUCUAGCCAUGGGCAGGUUGAAGGUUGGGUAACACUAACUGGAGGACCGAACCGACUAAUGUUGAAAAAUUAGCGGAUGACUUGUGGCUGGGGGUGAAAGGCCAAUCAAACCGGGAGAUAGCUGGUUCUCCCCGAAAGCUAUUUAGGUAGCGCCUCGUGAAUUCAUCUCCGGGGGUAGAGCACUGUUUCGGCAAGGGGGUCAUCCCGACUUACCAACCCGAUGCAAACUGCGAAUACCGGAGAAUGUUAUCACGGGAGACACACGGCGGGUGCUAACGUCCGUCGUGAAGAGGGAAACAACCCAGACCGCCAGCUAAGGUCCCAAAGUCAUGGUUAAGUGGGAAACGAUGUGGGAAGGCCCAGACAGCCAGGAUGUUGGCUUAGAAGCAGCCAUCAUUUAAAGAAAGCGUAAUAGCUCACUGGUCGAGUCGGCCUGCGCGGAAGAUGUAACGGGGCUAAACCAUGCACCGAAGCUGCGGCAGCGACGCUUAUGCGUUGUUGGGUAGGGGAGCGUUCUGUAAGCCUGUGAAGGUGUGCUGUGAGGCAUGCUGGAGGUAUCAGAAGUGCGAAUGCUGACAUAAGUAACGAUAAAGCGGGUGAAAAGCCCGCUCGCCGGAAGACCAAGGGUUCCUGUCCAACGUUAAUCGGGGCAGGGUGAGUCGACCCCUAAGGCGAGGCCGAAAGGCGUAGUCGAUGGGAAACAGGUUAAUAUUCCUGUACUUGGUGUUACUGCGAAGGGGGAACGGAGAAGGCUAUGUUGGCCGGGCGACGGUUGUCCCGGUUUAAGCGUGUAGGCUGGUUUUCCAGGCAAAUCCGGAAAAUCAAGGCUGAGGCGUGAUGACGAGGCACUACGGUGCUGAAGCAACAAAUGCCCUGCUUCCAGGAAAAGCCUCUAAGCAUCAGGUAACAUCAAAUCGUACCCCAAACCGACACAGGUGGUCAGGUAGAGAAUACCAAGGCGCUUGAGAGAACUCGGGUGAAGGAACUAGGCAAAAUGGUGCCGUAACUUCGGGAGAAGGCACGCUGAUAUGUAGGUGAAGUCCCUCGCGGAUGGAGCUGAAAUCAGUCGAAGAUACCAGCUGGCUGCAACUGUUUAUUAAAAACACAGCACUGUGCAAACACGAAAGUGGACGUAUACGGUGUGACGCCUGCCCGGUGCCGGAAGGUUAAUUGAUGGGGUUAGCGCAAGCGAAGCUCUUGAUCGAAGCCCCGGUAAACGGCGGCCGUAACUAUAACGGUCCUAAGGUAGCGAAAUUCCUUGUCGGGUAAGUUCCGACCUGCACGAAUGGCGUAAUGAUGGCCAGGCUGUCUCCACCCGAGACUCAGUGAAAUUGAACUCGCUGUGAAGAUGCAGUGUACCCGCGGCAAGACGGAAAGACCCCGUGAACCUUUACUAUAGCUUGACACUGAACAUUGAGCCUUGAUGUGUAGGAUAGGUGGGAGGCUUUGAAGUGUGGACGCCAGUCUGCAUGGAGCCGACCUUGAAAUACCACCCUUUAAUGUUUGAUGUUCUAACGUGGACCCGUAAUCCGGGUUGCGGACAGUGUCUGGUGGGUAGUUUGACUGGGGCGGUCUCCUCCUAAAGAGUAACGGAGGAGCACGAAGGUUGGCUAAUCCUGGUCGGACAUCAGGAGGUUAGUGCAAUGGCAUAAGCCAGCUUGACUGCGAGCGUGACGGCGCGAGCAGGUGCGAAAGCAGGUCAUAGUGAUCCGGUGGUUCUGAAUGGAAGGGCCAUCGCUCAACGGAUAAAAGGUACUCCGGGGAUAACAGGCUGAUACCGCCCAAGAGUUCAUAUCGACGGCGGUGUUUGGCACCUCGAUGUCGGCUCAUCACAUCCUGGGGCUGAAGUAGGUCCCAAGGGUAUGGCUGUUCGCCAUUUAAAGUGGUACGCGAGCUGGGUUUAGAACGUCGUGAGACAGUUCGGUCCCUAUCUGCCGUGGGCGCUGGAGAAUUGAGGGGGGCUGCUCCUAGUACGAGAGGACCGGAGUGGACGCAUCACUGGUGUUCGGGUUGUCAUGCCAAUGGCACUGCCCGGUAGCUAAAUGCGGAAGAGAUAAGUGCUGAAAGCAUCUAAGCACGAAACUUGCCCCGAGAUGAGUUCUCCCUGACUCCUUGAGAGUCCUGAAGGAACGUUGAAGACGACGACGUUGAUAGGCCGGGUGUGUAAGCGCAGCGAUGCGUUGAGCUAACCGGUACUAAUGAACCGUGAGGCUUAACCU